UACGUAGGGUGCAAGCGUUGUCCGGAAUUAUUGGGCGUAAAGAGCUCGUAGGCGGUCUGUCGCGUCUGCUGUGAAAACUCGAGGCUCAACCUCGGGCUUGCAGUGGGUACGGGCUGACUAGAGUGCGGUAGGGGAGACCGGAAUUCCUGGUGUAGCGGUGAAAUGCGCAGAUAUCAGGAGGAACACCGAUGGCGAAGGCAGGUCUCUGGGCCGUAACUGACGCUGAGGAGCGAAAGCAUGGGGAGCAAACAGG
RNAcentral lists this unclassified non-coding RNA (253 nucleotides) under uncultured Micrococcales bacterium. Its description in RNAcentral is "contains 16S-23S intergenic spacer region". It matches the Rfam family "Bacterial small subunit ribosomal RNA", at positions 524 to 776 of the family's 1533-position model. Lineage: Bacteria; Bacillati; Actinomycetota; Actinomycetes; Micrococcales. The record is from RNAcentral.